AUAUCAAUAAGCGGAGGAAAAGGAACCAACAGGGAUUGCCUUAGUAACGGCGAGUGAAGCGGCAACAGCUCAAAUUUGAAAUCAGGCUCACGCCCGAGUUGUAAUUUGUAGAGGAUGCUUUUGGUGCGGUGCCUUCUGAGUUCCCUGGAACGGGACGCCAGAGAGGGUGAGAGCCCCGUAUAGUUGGACACCGAGCCUAUGUAAAUCUCCUUCGACGAGUCGAGUAGUUUGGGAAUGCUGCUCUAAAUGGGAGGUAAAUUUCUUCUAAAGCUAAAUACUGGCCAGAGACCGAUAGCGCACAAGUA
Molecule: ribosomal RNA, 305 nt
Filed under: uncultured Fusarium
Lineage: Eukaryota; Fungi; Ascomycota; Sordariomycetes; Hypocreales; Nectriaceae
Description: partial large subunit ribosomal RNA
Rfam family: Eukaryotic large subunit ribosomal RNA
Source: RNAcentral